GUCUUAAACAAAGAUGGGGAACAGCUAACUUGAAUACAAGGUCAAAAUCAGCAACACAUUCUACAAUCCAGUGCUGAUAUCAGAUACAAGCUUCAAGGACAAU
Molecule: long non-coding RNA, 103 nt
Organism: Sapajus apella (tufted capuchin)
Lineage: Eukaryota; Metazoa; Chordata; Mammalia; Primates; Cebidae
Exons: 3
Source: RefSeq, a predicted model, not a curated record